RNAcentral lists this unclassified non-coding RNA (165 nucleotides) under uncultured Stilbella. RNAcentral describes it as "sequence contains ITS2". Lineage: Eukaryota; Fungi; Ascomycota; Sordariomycetes; Hypocreales. The record is from RNAcentral.
CAACCCUCAGCGCCCGUCCGCGGGAGCUGGUGUUGGGGAUCGGCCGUCCUUGCGGCGGCCGGCCCCGAAAUCUAGUGGCGGUCUCCUCGCGACCUCCUCUGCGUAGUAACACUACCUCGCAGCUGGAUAGCGGUCUGACCACGCCGUAAAACCCCAACUUCUCAA